Molecule: long non-coding RNA, 219 nt
Filed under: Homo sapiens (human)
Lineage: Eukaryota; Metazoa; Chordata; Mammalia; Primates; Hominidae
Description: HSALNT0335273
Source: RNAcentral
UUUGACGUCAAAGCGCAUCGAUAACUGAUUCAGUAAUUGGCAACUACUCCUCUAUCAAUGUGUAUGCACAUGGAGACUUGGACUGUCAGAUAAGGGCAGAACGCCAACAACCAAGGCAAGAAGAAUGUGAAAAAGGAUUCAGUAUGUUCAAGAACCCCAAGCCUGAAUCGGAGAUGAGAAAGUGACCACAUCAAAAUGGAGAGAAAAGUAAAAGGUGAG